GAUUAAAUAGUUUAAAUUAAGAUUUUAAUUUGUGGUAUUAAAGAUAUAAAUAAUAUUUUAUUUUAGUCA
RNAcentral lists this transfer RNA (69 nucleotides) under Gasteruption sp. M19. Its description in RNAcentral is "tRNA-His". The record is from RNAcentral. Lineage: Eukaryota; Metazoa; Arthropoda; Insecta; Hymenoptera; Gasteruptiidae.